This is a long non-coding RNA of Chinchilla lanigera (long-tailed chinchilla), 4464 nucleotides long. RefSeq lists it as uncharacterized. The record is from RefSeq and is a predicted model, not a curated record. The transcript is spliced from 2 exons. Lineage: Eukaryota; Metazoa; Chordata; Mammalia; Rodentia; Chinchillidae.
GUAAAAGCCAAUUCAAGACACACUGUUUUUAUGUUCACUUUCUAAUACUUUUGUCCUUUAGCAAUGACACACGUGGGCACUGAGGAAUGGUCCUACAGCAGGCCUGCGUCAGCCCCAUGCUUGACUCCACACAGCCACCUGAGAAGGGAGCUAGGGGCUGGACUCGUGCACAUGGCAGGGAACUGCAAGGGAACUCUCCUGACCAAGAGGUUAGAGCUGAGAGGUCAAGCCAGGUCUGUCUGAGUCUCACGCUGUACCUCCUACUCGGUGGACCUUUCUCAUCACAGGACAAAGGUGCUGCCUUCUCCAACAGAGAUACGGUUAAAGGGCAAACACCGCUGUCCAACACCUGGCUUUGGAGAAGAGGCUAGAAGGGACUCAAGCGUGUAAGAGGAGGUAGGGCUGCGGGCCUGACCUUCCACAGGUAGCCCUGGGCAGUAUCUUCUCAGGGCUGAAUUCAAAUGGCUCAGUGACCAACCAGACGCAAAGCUCAUCCUUAGACCAAGAAGCCCGCCUGGCUCCACGUUCUCAAAGUAGCUCUUGGCUGCUGCUAGGAGCAAGUACCAUCAGAGCAACUCAAGCAAGAGAGCAGACCCCAGAACAGGAGAUGGGGAGGGCAGGACACUCAGCCAGGCUGCUCCCUGGGAAGCAGGGCAAAGGCGGCCCUCAUCCCUGCUCUGCAGCAUGCGUGAGGGGCUGAGACGCAGGAGCCCCAGCCGCCUGACAGUUCUCAACCACCCAGCCGAGACAGCCGUGUGCCAACAGACAAAGGGAUGUGUGACGGACAGCAGCAACAACAGGCAGGAUUUCUCCUCCAACAUCACUGCUCACUACAAGUUCUUGAAUAGCUGUGUGCUUGCAGAUCCAGAAAGGUGCACUGUUAAAAGCUAAAGAUCAUAUGCUGAGUUUUUCUUUGACUGGAGGAGAGAGAGACAAGGAGAGAAGGAGGGAGAUGUCUGGAAUUUCUUUGUUCAAGCAGACAACUCCCUCUGAAGAACAAUUCUCAAUCAGAAAAAGUUAUAACAACUUUAUGCUUUCAUCUUCAAAUUUACUUUGUGGAUUUUGUGUCAUCCCAUGGCCCUGAAAGACCCUGCUCAAUAGCCCUGGAAGUACAGCGGAGAGUCUACCCCUAGACAAGGACCAUAACUCAAUACUUCACAAAAAUCAUCACGUGAGUAAGAAGCUGAAUGUCAGCCACAGAGAGACUAAGUCAAGUCCUUGGAGGGCAAGAACCACACAUGCUUCCUGCCUCCCCCAUCCAGCGCUACCUCGUGCGGAUGUUCCUGACUCCACGUGGAAUCUUCCCUGCCAGAAAAGCAGGGAGUGAGGAGUGCAGAGUACCCAUUCCGAAGUCCACACGCUCCCGCACAUUUGGAAAGUGCUAAGUCCUCAGAGGGAGCUUUUAUAAGGGAUAUAACGUAGAAACAACCAGCUUCCAAGUCACUCCUAACUUCCCCAACAGAGAGAAAAGUUAUCACCUUCGGGCGAGAGCUCAUGAAGCUGCAUAGAGAGAAAGGAAGUAUGUAUGAAUCAGACCUAUACUAGCAUGGUUAGGCCAUCUGUGGGGAAUAAAGGCAUGGACCUAGGUGGGACCUAAACCACCAUUCAGGCCUCUGCUUUGAUGAGCUAUCUACUCCAUGUUCCAAAUGCCCUGCCGAGUUCUGGAGUGCAAUCCAUUCACAAAUUGAGAGCUCUGUCUACAAUGCUGGGCAAACAGUAUGGAGCAAGUGUGGGCCUUCUCAAUGAAAGGCCUCUAUGUCACCUGAGACAAGUAUCUGCUCCAUGGAAUCCUCUGAAUACUCAGCUCCUCUACUCUGAGCUCUUAGCACUUGCUGCCUCUACUUUUUCUGCCUUGUCACCCAUUUGAAGUUGUCACCCUCUUCUUUUUAUGUCCUGUGUUUUUACCUUAUCAUUCAACUAAAUCUUAAGUUUGUAUCCUCUCAUACUGCCCAGCAUGGAACAUGCCCAAAACAAAGGUGGCUUCACAGACUGGCCGGAGUAAGUGUGAAAACCAGCAAAGACAUAUCAAGACCUAACUUAGACAUCACUUAUGAUUCAAACAUCUUCACCAUUCCCCUCUCCCACAGGAAUGCUGUGUACGUAACACAUUCUCUCCUUCUCCACGAACGGCACUGGGCUGAUAUCAACAGGAGUGGUGGAGAGCAGCACGAGACCCAGAGUAACUCACAACCUAGCGAAGGUUAAGAACUCACCCAAAGCAGGAUGCAUGCAUGUACACAUGUGUUCUCUCCACCCCACCCCACCCCUGUUAGUAGGUUGGUGUAUUUACUCUGGUCAUGACCAGGAACCACUUUGGUCAUCUGAAAAUAUUUUACAAAUCCCUUUUUCAAAUUCCCAUACCUAUCAGGGACAGUCCAAGAGCACAGUCUGGGGUACACAAUGCAGACAGGGUGUGCUGCUCGCCCCUCGCAUUCACACUGCUCUGACAGAGGCACCUCCUUAGUCUGCGGGCCUCCCUGGUCCUAGCCCUCCUCUCUCUAGCUUCCUCCUCCCUCUCAUGCCAAGCCUGCCCGUCAUCAUGAGAACCAAACCACGCAGAUACUAAGUAUGGUCCAGCCUACACAGGAAGUGGAUUUUUACAGAAAAUCUCCUCCCCGGGUCUCCUACUGGCUAGGAAGCUGGAAAAGCAAAAAGCAUCAACAGGGGAUCAGUCCUAAAAACUGAGUGUUUUAUAAACUGUCUGGGGAGAGAGAUGAGUGAAGACUGAACAAGCUUCCCAAACUACUGAUGGGGUACAGAAAUGAUCGCAGUGGACCGAGCAACCGUCCAUGGCUCCGUUCCAACAAGGAGCCACCUGGAGGCCACACCUCAGUAGGGACAGUCUGGAAGGCCCGUGGGAAGACUGAAUGGAUGACAGUUAAUGAGAAACUUCAAAGAGCAUGGCCUCAGCCCUUCAAGUUUGCUGCGGCUGAGGCAUACAUGCACGUGUGCCAAACCCAGAUGCCUGUGACCCGAGGACAGCGCAAAAUGCACCCAACUCGCAAACCACUGAGAAAGCAUUUUAAUUUUGCUUUGACCAUUCCAACAGUAUGGUGGAGUCCACAGCACCUCACGGCACCAUGGAAGAUAUCUACGGUCAGGCAUGGCAGGAAGAGACUCUUGCUGGAUGAUAUACCAAGUUGCUCAGAUUCUGGAUGAGGAAACGCUGGCAUUAGUCAAAAAGACUGAUUUCAAUGAAUUUAAAUUCAUUCCACACAACUGAGUUACAUCAGUGUUUCUUAUGAGUAUUUAUAAAUAAUUCGCUCCGGUAACAGCAAAAGCCAGACCAGAAAAAGUCACUUCAAACAUACAAGGCUUAAUUGACAUAUCCCACCUGAAUUUCCUGCUCUCAACUCCUUCUGUGAUCAUUUUGAUUUUUUCUGCCCCUUAACUGGGACACUUCACUAGCCUUUUAACCUCUACGCCCAUUGCCUCUUAGAAAGCCCUUUGGCACUUGUGAAGUGCAGCCACCCCCUAAGGACACAGCCCACCCCUCUCAAACCAAUCCUGGAGUCGGUUCUCAAAAGUAGGGUCCAUCCAAAAGAGGCUGACUGCUUCCUACUAUUCCAACUCUACAACGCCUGUCCUCAGUCUUAGCAGCACUUACCAAAAGCCAAGGCCAACAGAUCCAUCCAAGGUCUCCACCAACCUCCUCCUCUACACACUCAAUCUCAGAGCUGGAAGGAGAUUCAAGGCUUACUCAGCUCAAAAGAUGAGAAAACUGAGGAGCAGGGCAGGCAGUGUAGCUUCAGGCUACUCACCCAGGCUACAGUGGAGGAGCUCUGAUUUAUGCGUCUGCAAUAAACAACGAUGCUUAUGUGUCCACAAUUUUCAUGCAAUUUCCCCUGAUCCUUAGGCUAGGUUGCCACCUUUACCUUCCUGCCAUUUGAUUAUCUAGGCCACUUGCCUCUCCAGCCUGGCUUGGUAAUGGAAAGGCAGUGAUGACAGGUCUGCAUUUAUUUGAACAUACUGGCCAAACUUGAGAGGGAGUUACUGGAGGUUGAAGAGCUGGCAUAGCAAAGUCCACACUUCGCACAUUUAAAAAUGUGCUGCAUAUACUGAGCACAACCUCAGCCAGCUCACACUAAACCGCUCACAGACCAUGCCCCUUUUAUUUACUAACUGAAACGGGGUCUGAACAUCAUGCCCAGUACCAUUUCUCUCUAAUAACCACGGGAUGCCUUCUCAUCUCCUGCAGCCCUUUAUCUAUGCUCUGAGGCUUUCCAAGAAUUAGGAUAACAGAGCCCAACAAGAUCAAGUUGUAGUUAUCCAAAGAAGCAAAAUAAGCCUCCCAGUGCAACCAAAUCAAGCUGGGCGUCUGAAGUUCCCUCAGUCUCUAACACUAAGCACGAAGUCAGGAGUCUAUGACUGAGGUCUGGGCCCUUCACACUCCCUCACAAUGAGCAGCAGCCGCUGAACACCGUCACUGCUGUACAGUCAUCAAUAAACCCCAAAGCAAAUUAA